This 1125-nucleotide ribosomal RNA is filed under the name Triticum aestivum (bread wheat). RNAcentral describes it as "partial small subunit ribosomal RNA". The record is from RNAcentral. Lineage: Eukaryota; Viridiplantae; Streptophyta; Magnoliopsida; Poales; Poaceae.
AUGAUGAGGCCGAUCACAUCUUUGAUCCAUGACCCUCUAGAGAUAGUAGCAGAUUUAAUUGAUGCAUCGACCGCUUCUUGGAGGGAAGAACUGAUUAGACAAGUGUUUGUUCCAGUGGAUGCCGAGGCCAUUCUGAGGAUUCCCCUAUGCACUCGUCAGGUCGACGACUUUUGGGCGUGGUCCGAGGAUCCGAGAGGCCGGUUCUCUGUCAGGACUGCAUAUAAUAUGAUAUACCGUAUAAAGAGUGGAAGAGAAGCAUGGCUUGAGGAAGGAGAGCAUACUUCUAAUCUCCAGGGGCUGACAAAGAGCUGGGCUGCCUUAUGGAAGCUAAAAGUGUCGUCGAAGCUGAAAGUUUUUACAUGGAGAUUGGCCCAACACUCGCUACCAACGAUAGAUCUACUGCAGCAUCGAAACAUGGCCACCAUGGAUGUGUGUGGAGUGUGCGGGGCGCAUGAUAGUUGGCGUUACUCACUACUGGACUGCGCCCUGUCCAGGAGCACUUGGGCUCUGUCGAAGGAAGAGAUGGUGCAACAUAUGGCGAUGAACCGAAGUGCUGACGCAAAGGAGUGGCUAUUCUCCAUGUUCGAUUCGAUGCCCAGCGACGAGCUUGUAACAAUGAUUGUCACUCUUUGGGCGAUCUGGUCUUCACGGAGGAAGUUAAUACAUGAGGGAAUUUUUCAAACACCGUUUUCCACCCACGGUUUCAUAUCGAAUUACCUGUCGGAGAUUCAGUUCAUGGAGAAGCCAGCGAAGGACAAGCAAGCACCAGCUCCUAGAACGGCGGAGUGGAUCCCUCCUCCAGAAUAUCACAUGAAAGUCAAUGUCGAUGCGGCGGUUGCCAGACAUGGGGGCUUCGGGACAGCAACAGCAAUUUGUCGAGAUGGUAGUGGGGAGUUUCAAGGAGCGUCAGUGAACCGUUUCAAUAACAUCGAUGAUCCAGAAACGUUGGAGACUUUGGCAAUACGUGAAGCUCUGGCCCUCGCGGAUGAUUUGCUCUUCCACAAGAUUUCAGUGGCGUCGGAUUGUAAGCUGGCCGUUGAUGCGAUCAAGCAAGGCACUUGUGCACAAUAUGGGGCCGUGGUACAUGAAAUCAUAGAUCGCUCUAGAGAUUUUCUUCGUGUUUAA